UACCAGCACCCCGAGUGGUCGGGACGAUUAUUGGGCCUAAAGCAUCCGUAGCCGGCCUUACAAGUCCUCCGUUAAAUCCAGCUGCUUAACAGAUGGGCUGCGGAGGAUACUAUAAGACUAGGAGGCAGGAGAGGCAAGCGGUACUCAGUGGGUAGGGGGUAAAAAUCCGUUGAUCCAUUGAAGACCACCAGUGGCGAAGGCGGCUUGCCAGAAUGCGCUCGACGGUGAGGGAUGAAAGCUGGGGGGAGCAAACCGG
This 256-nucleotide ribosomal RNA is filed under the name uncultured bacterium. RNAcentral describes it as "partial 16S ribosomal RNA". It matches the Rfam family "Archaeal small subunit ribosomal RNA", at positions 474 to 727 of the family's 1478-position model. The record is from RNAcentral.